This 440-nucleotide ribosomal RNA is filed under the name uncultured bacterium. RNAcentral describes it as "partial 16S ribosomal RNA". It matches the Rfam family "Bacterial small subunit ribosomal RNA", at positions 338 to 795 of the family's 1533-position model. The record is from RNAcentral.
CCUACGGGAGGCAGCAGUGGGGAAUAUUGCACAAUGGGGGAAACCCUGAUGCAGCGACGCCGCGUGAGUGAAGAAGGAUUUCGUUUUGUAAAGCUCUAUUAGCAGGGAAGAAAAUGACGGUACGUGAGUAAGAAGGCCCGGCCAACUACGUGCCAGAAGCCGCGGUAAUACGUAGGGGGCACGCGUUAUCCGGAUUUACUGGGUGUAAAGGGAGCGUAGUCGGUAGUGCAAGUCUGGAGUGAAAGGCGGGGGCUCAACCUGGGGUCCGCACUGGAAACUGUACGGCUGGAGUGCAGGAGAGGUGAGUGGAAUUCCUAGUGUAGCGGUGAAAUGCGUAGAUAUUAGGAGGAACACCAGUGGCGAAGGCGGCUAACUGGACUGUAACUGACGUUGAGGCUCGAAAGCGUGGGGAGCAAACAGGAUUAGAUACCCCGGUAGUC